UGUAUUUUAGUUUAUGAUGAAUAAAAAUUUUUGGAAUUUUAGGGGAUAGUUUAAUUCUAUUAAGUGCAA
RNAcentral lists this transfer RNA (69 nucleotides) under Pelecotoma fennica. Its description in RNAcentral is "tRNA-Gln". The record is from RNAcentral. Lineage: Eukaryota; Metazoa; Arthropoda; Insecta; Coleoptera; Ripiphoridae.